CAUGGAGACCUCCAACACCGCUCUCCACUACGUGCCUCUUCUCCUGCUUAAGAACCUGGACGUCUUAGACGAGCUGGGCUUAUGGUGAAUGUGAUUGGGGACAGUCAAGGGUCUCUGAGGCCAUGCUGGAAGGUUGUUGGGUGAUGAACGAAGACAUCUGUCCUGAUCAGUCUGAAAAAUAAAAAAUCCACCUCUGUAAGGAUUUGUAACUUAUAAUGAAGUUUUGCUGCCAACAGAGCUCUUUGAAAUUGACAAGGACACUACUGUGUACACCAUCCUGAGCUCUGUCCUCCACGACCCAUACCACUUUGAGAAGCCAGAUGCUUUCCAUUCUGGCCACUUCCUGGAUUUGGAGGGCAACUUCAGGAAGCAAGAAGCCUUCAUCCUAUUCUCCAUGGGUUGUCCUGAAGAGGUUAAACCUUCACAAUGUUCCAUAACAUUCCGAAGUCAUGUGCCACUCCAAAAGCAUAAUGGCUGAGGUAUACAUAUCUGCGAACUGGUCUUCAGCCAACUGACAACCUCAAGUUAAAGUAAUUCAUUGUGGUUGUUGUGCUGAUUUUAUUUCUGGUAAAUAAGUACUCUCAAUUGUGCCCACUGAAGAAAUUUCUGCAUAUCCAGCUUGGUAAUGUCCUUCCUCAUCCUUUAAGUAAGACCUGUCUUUAAACCAACUUAAAUCAGCAUUCUCAGUAGGAAUUUCUUGUGAGUCAUUGCUAAGAGCAAGAAGGUAAUCUGUUAUUAAAAUACAGUCGUGGUCAA
This 756-nucleotide long non-coding RNA is filed under the name Equus asinus (donkey). RNAcentral describes it as "lncRNA (ENSEASG00005027523.1)". Lineage: Eukaryota; Metazoa; Chordata; Mammalia; Perissodactyla; Equidae. The record is from RNAcentral.